CAUUCUAAUAGCAAAACCAAAACAAUACAGGAAUUCUUCUGUUCCCUGCAACUGUAUGGAGAAAUUUUCACCUGAAAUUAAUGUUGGAAUUAAUGACUGAUCAUCUGAGCUGCAUCCUGAUCAUCUGAGUCCAAACUUUCCUCAAGUUCCUACAGGAAAUUUCACAUUAGCCUUUCUUGUAAUCCUUUAUAAAACAUGGAUACAAUGCCAUAUAAAUGCCUUUUAAAUGCAUUUUCUUUAUAAAGCUGCAGAAGAGGAGGAUGAAGAACCAGUAACAGGGGCCAGUAAGAGGGUCUGCAACAGCACAGACACCUCUGCACAAGAUCCUGAAGAGCAGAGAGUGAACAUGCUGUCCAUGGCUGUGUUGGGUUUGAGAGUCCUGCUGGCAAAGAGCAUCGCCUUCAAUGCCCUCAUGAGUAUCAAGUUGUUUCUUUUCUGAGUCACGGGGAAUGAAGGCAAGAGGAACCCGAAGAAGAGCAGGAAAGAACAUGAACCAGCAGCACAAGGGGGUUGAACAAGCAGGGGCAGAGCAGCUGACAGAGACCAGCCAGGACACAAGGCAGCACCUUCCCCUCAAGACAUUGAAUCCUCUUCACUCCUGCCUGGCCAGCUGAUUUACACUGAAGAGUUUUAAGUGCUUUUGCUGUUUCCUCUCCUCUGAGGACUGAGGAGGGUGAAUUUAUCCUCAUCCUCCUGCUUAGCAGAUCUCCCCACUCCUCUGGCAUUUGCACACAAGUGUCCAACCUGCAUCAAUAGCUUUGAAAACUCCAGUGCUGACUCUAGACCUGUGGCCUUUUAAAAGCACCUUUGCCAGGCAUGUUGUGUUACUGCCUCUAGAAGUGGAGUGUUACUGCUGAGAGAAUUCAAGCCCUGGAGCUGCCAUUCCUGGCUCUGGGUUUUAGACAGAUUUAAUAACAUCAAGUGUGUAUUGCAGAUGAGAAGAACUGUGUAGGAUCUGAAGUGAUUGAAUUCAAACAGAAAAUGUUCAUUUCUUUAUGAAGCCUCUAUUUCUUCUGCCAAAUGUGUCUCAUGUGCACUUUAGGUUCCUGUAGUAGUGACAAAAAUAAAGUACUGCCAGGCCAAAACAC
This is a non-coding RNA of Cyanistes caeruleus (blue tit), 1088 nucleotides long. The record is from RefSeq and is a predicted model, not a curated record. NCBI's taxonomy places the organism in Eukaryota, Metazoa, Chordata, Aves, Passeriformes, Paridae.